This 368-nucleotide ribosomal RNA is filed under the name uncultured organism. RNAcentral describes it as "bacterial SSU rRNA". It matches the Rfam family "Bacterial small subunit ribosomal RNA", at positions 526 to 896 of the family's 1533-position model. The record is from RNAcentral.
CGUAGGUGGCAAGCGUUGUCCGGAUUUAUUGGGUUUAAAGGGUGCGUAGGCGGUGAUUUAAGUCAGUGGUGAAAUACUUCAGCUUAACUGGAGAGGUGCCAUUGAUACUGGGUCACUUGAGUACUGAUGAGGUAGGCGGAAUGGACGGUGUAGCGGUGAAAUGCUUAGAUAUCGUCCAGAACACCGAUAGCGAAGGCAGCUUACUAAGGAGUAACUGACGCUGAGGCACGAAAGUGUGGGGAUCAAACAGGAUUAGAUACCCUGGUAGUCCACACUGUAAACGAUGAUCACUCGAUGUUGGCGAUACACAGCCAGCGUCUUAGCAAAAGCGAUAAGUGAUCCGCCUGGGGAGUACGCCGGCAACGGUG